This 948-nucleotide long non-coding RNA is filed under the name Coturnix japonica (Japanese quail). Its description in RNAcentral is "lncRNA (ENSCJPG00005006539.1)". The record is from RNAcentral. Lineage: Eukaryota; Metazoa; Chordata; Aves; Galliformes; Phasianidae.
UGAUGUGAGUUGACCCAUGUUGCUCUGUGUUGACCCACGUUGAUGAGUGUUGACCCACGUUGAUGUGUGUUGACCCAUGUUGCUGUGUGUUGACCCACACCGUUCCAUACUGAUGUGUUAAGGUGAGAUUGUCUCAUGCUGAAUCAGGGUUGAUCUGUUUUGGACCACGUUGACACGUGUUGAUCCACACUGACGUGUGCUCAUUUGCUUUGAGUUGACCCUUGUGUUGAUGCAUGUUGAUGUAUGUGGAGCCAUGUUUGGAGCCAUGUUGGUGUAUGUGGAGCCAUGUUGAUCUGUUUUGCUACCUCUAUGGAUCCACAUUGACAACAUAACUCUCUUUUGACCUCUGUUGGCCCACAUAUGACUCAUGUUGACUCAUGUUGACCCACAAUGAGCUGCUGUCAGCCUGCAUAGCCCCAUGUAGAUCACGUUGACCCAUGUAGAUCACAUUGACUCAUGCUGGCUCCUACGUAGCUCCAUGUUGAUCAUAUUGACCCAUGUUGGUCCCUACAUAGCUCCAUGUUGAUCCACAUUGACCCAUGUUGAUGAUAUUGACCCAUGUUUGCCCCUACGUAGCUCCAUGUUGAUCCCAUUGACCCAUGUUGGCUCCUACGUAGUUCCAUCUUGAUCACAUUGACCCAUGUUGGCCUCUACGUAGCUCCAUGUUGAUCACAUUGACCCAUGUUGGCCCCUACAUAGCUCCAUAUUGAUCAUGUUGACCCAUGAUGGCUCCUAUGUAGCUCCAUGUUGAUCACAUUGACCCAUGUUGAUCACAUUGACCCAUGUUGGCCCCUAUGUAGCUCCAUGUUGAUCCACGUUGACCCAUGUAGGCCCAUGAUGAUCUGCUGUCAGCCUACGUAGCUCCAUGUUGACCACGUUGACCUAUCUAUCUCUUUGCAGGUGAGAAACCCCACCAGUGCAGCAUCUGUUGGCGCUCCUUCUCUCUAA